This is a non-coding RNA of Guyanagaster necrorhizus, 90 nucleotides long. Lineage: Eukaryota; Fungi; Basidiomycota; Agaricomycetes; Agaricales; Physalacriaceae. The record is from the annotation of a RefSeq genome assembly.
GACUUGGUGGUCUAGUGGUAUGAUUCCUUGUUAGGAUGGAACAUUGUUACGGUAUUGAGGGGGUCCUGGGUUCAAUUCCCGGUCAUGAUG